UGUAAAAGUUUCUUGAGGCUGGAUGGAGAUUGGCCUUUCAAUGCAAAGGUAGAAGGGAGUUUAACUGUAAGACUCAACCAUCGAGCAAGGACAAAGUUGGCUUUAGU
This 107-nucleotide ribosomal RNA is filed under the name Olea europaea subsp. europaea. RNAcentral describes it as "PK-G12rRNA". Lineage: Eukaryota; Viridiplantae; Streptophyta; Magnoliopsida; Lamiales; Oleaceae. The record is from RNAcentral.